AAAGAAAGAGAAGAAGAAGAAAUAGAAGUUGAAGAACCUGCCAAGGAAUAAGACUCCCAAGGAAGAACAUUCAUGAAAAUGAAAAGAUAACUGAAGUCUAAAUGUGCAUCUAACUAGACGGUGCCGGAAGACAGCAGUAACCAAGGAACUAAUUAAGCUGCGGAAAAGAGUUCCAAAUGAGAAAAAUAGAAAGCUGCGGAUC
RNAcentral lists this unclassified non-coding RNA (202 nucleotides) under Hevea brasiliensis (rubber tree). Lineage: Eukaryota; Viridiplantae; Streptophyta; Magnoliopsida; Malpighiales; Euphorbiaceae. The record is from RNAcentral.